RNAcentral lists this long non-coding RNA (1025 nucleotides) under Sus scrofa (pig). RNAcentral describes it as "lncRNA (ENSSSCG00040006068.1)". The record is from RNAcentral. Lineage: Eukaryota; Metazoa; Chordata; Mammalia; Artiodactyla; Suidae.
GGCCAUUGUCACCUCCAGCCACGGCUUCCUGGCUGUAGCCAUGCCCGACUGUCCUCUCACAAGGUCUUCUGAGGGAUGUGGCCCUUGGGCUCACCAGGCUGGAAAAAACACUCCAUAGGCACAGCCGUGGGCUACAUCGAACAUCUGUGCCAUCCCACUGUGAGCAUGGAGCAGUACACAGCCAAUAAAAAUGAAUCUCUUAAGGCGCAUCCCCAAAGUUGUAUAACCUCCAGAUCCCACAAAGCCUGGAGCCACCCCUGGGGUUGCCGUUUAUGAGAGGGGACAUUAGGGAGAGUUUGCGGAGAAGAAAGGGAGCUAGACUGACUUUCUUGAUGUUUCUGGCUUAACGCCCAGGAGAAUUCAGGCAAAGCUGUCCAUUCGGUUGGUAACGACACAAGCAGGAGAAUAGGACGGAAAUCCAAUUCUUCUGCUCCCCGGGGUGUGACUCUCAUACUGCAUCGCACAGCUUUCAUUUCGUGAAGAACUUGUGGAAGCAGAUGUUCACAAAGCAACUGACCAGGCCAGGUGUGUCCUUCAAGGCUACCUGCAUUCAACAGAGGCGACCACAGCCCAGACCCAUCCUUCUUGGGAGAGUUUCAAGAUGCUCCACAUAGUGGUGCCUAGCGCUCUGUGCACUCAGAGGCUAGAAGAAAAGAUACAGAGGUCCUCUUUCAAGGAGAGGCCCUGACGUUUCUAUUCUUACAAGGAUUCUUUGGUAAUAAAUACAGUGAAAACACCGUCACCGUGGAGAUAAUACUUAAUGCUCAAGAGGUACGUAGCAGAGAUUGCAUUCCAAUCAAGGACUUCCGUAACCCUGUCUACCAAGCCAGUAUCACCUGUAGGCCAGUUCACCUCCAUCCAGUCACUUUACAGCACUUGAGUGUUUGCUGUCCGCUCAAUUAAAAUCCUACUCUGGUGGGAAAAACCAGAUUUCCAAAUGGGGACUUUAUUGAUUCAAUAAAAUUUAAGAAAUUCUGCUUAUGGAAAAACUCAUUAACCCAAACUAAUAAAUACGAGUUUACCCU